UCCUGCCCCGGGUGGGGGGGGGUUGGAGGGGGGCCGUUCCUUCCAGCCCUCCUCCUUGCCUGCGCCUGCCCGCUGCGGCCUGUCUUGCCUGUGUCGCCGCUGGGAGGGCGGCUUGGCCGAGGCGAGGCACAGUGGGGCUUGUGGUGGAGGCGAGACGGCGGGGACGUGAGGCGUCCCCAUGUGAGGGCCGAGGGCCCCGCAGCAUGGCGCAAACGGCGCCCUUGGGGUGAGGGGAAAAGGCCGCGUUGUGCUGUUUUUGCCUUGUCCGGCGGCAGUGAUGAGGUUGACAACCAUCUUGAGCACUGGUUUUGUUGGGAUGAGAAAGAUGUGAUUCCUCGUCGAUGCAGCUAUGCUGGCAGAAAUCUGUAACGAGGUGUAGUCCAGAUAAGGUCUUUGGAAGACAUUAAAACCUGAGUUUUAUAUGUUUUACAGAACUUUGAAAACAUGCCUUUUUUUGCCUUCCAGCCUGAUUUUUCACUACCUUACAUUUUGGGAGUCAUUGACCCUUUUCCAAGUGACUGUAGACUCCUAUGAAACCUGAACUGAGUUAGAAAAGUAAUUAAUUUUGGUUUUUUUGAGUGAUUAAGAAUAGAUAGGUUUAAAAGGCAUACGAGGAGACUUUCACUUUGUACCAGCAUAAUAAAAGUGCACUACAGUCACUUCCAAACAAAGCAUGAGAAAGUGGAAAAAAGAGAGUCCUGUUGAUAAAAGUGUAGCAGACUUAGCCUUGUAUUACUUUGCCAACACACCUGUUAAUAAACUCUAUUGUUACAGGCAUGUCCGCUGUUAUCUCACUAUAGUUUUUACAUUGCUUUUGUACAGGACAUGCUUUGGCAGACAGAUGAAAUACCUGAGAUUAGAUUAAAUGGAAUCUCUGCUCACAUAAUGAACACUGAUACAACUGAUCUCAGCAGUUUAGUACUUCUAAGGUAGCCAGUAUGGGAAGGAAACAUUUGCAGGACCAGAUGGUGCAGGGCUACCAUACUGCAGAGUAUUUGCAGGAGAAUGGAGAAAAUUAAAUUAAUAGUGUUGUUGUGUUUUUUAUUUUCUCCAAAAUACCCUCUAGUGAUGUUUGAACUUUAGUAGGCUUAUAGUAAACUUAGCUCAUUUUGUUAAAAAUAAUUUUGCCUUUCAUAAAAGUUUAUCUCACUAUAAAUUAAGCCUUCCUAGUUAAUUUUGGUUUGUGUGUUUAUUUCUUUGCCAACCUAAUCACAUUCUUUCCACACAAAAUGAAGGAAAAAGUUUUGUUAAUUUCAACAUACUUUUGUUUUAAGUAUAUAGCCGUGAAAACUUUUACUUAUAUUAAAACCGAGGAUAAAAAUGUUGUGUUUAUUUCCAGCGAAGCAGCAGUAUCUCCUUACUCUCACCUAGUAAGGUAGUGUUUCAUAAAGAUUUGUAUGUGAUGAUUUCUGAAAUUGUUAACUAGUUAAAAUGCAAAGAAACUAUUAUUUGUAUAGCUUGGUUCUACAAAUUAUUUUUUUUCCCUUGUGUUAAAAAUGGGGAUACAUACCUCAUUUGAGUGCACACAACCCCUACUUUUUAAAGUAAAAUGCUUCAAAGUAAUGCGAGUAAACUCUAAAAUUGUCUAUAAAAAUAAAUUCAUUAGAUAUUUUAAAAUACCUUGAAGGGCCAAAAAAGCGUUCCAGAAAUCAGUGAUUACAUGGCAAACAUGCCACAAAGGGGAACUGUUAACAAGUGUGCCUUUGCCAAUAGUAGGAAGAUUGCCAACAUCUAAUUGGCUUUAAAGUUUUGUUCUGUCAAUGGUGUAUUGUAUUUUAAAAGCAGUAAUGCCAACCUUAUGAUUUAGGUGUGAAAUGGGACCUCAGAAUAUAUGACUGAUUAUGGCAGGAAGGAACUAUUUUCUUAAGGAAGACUUGCUAGCCUACUUGUUGCUGUAGUGUAAGUAAAGAGUUUAUUUUGUACAAUACAGCAAAGAGAACAGCAUAAAAAUUAUAUAUGAGAACGACAAGUAGUAAGCAUAUAACUGGUACAUAUCUGUUCUCAUUGGGAGAUCUUGUAGUGUUUUAUAAAAAAAAGAAUAUAGAUGUCGUUAUAAGAACCGAUCUUUUAGCUGCCAAACCCAUUUAAGUCAUUGUUGCCCUGGAAACCUAUGUAUUCCUGGAGGCCCCCCCCCAGUCAGUCCAGCCAGUUCAAUUGCUUUUUGACAGUUUUCUAUACUGGACCUGUGAAAUGAGCAGGUUUUAAAAAAAAAUCCCCACUCCUUUUGCCCCAGCUGCUCAUCCCACUCUUGCGUUACAAUUUACGGCCUCUCAGGUAUGCUGAUAUGGCUCUUAUUAAUGCACAUCUUUUCACUCAUCUGUUUUACUGCCUUCCCCAGCAAAUGCUUGCACUGGCGCACUGGUCCUCACUCUGUAGGGACUAAAUGGGCUGAGCUGGAAUGAAUGAGCGGGACAGAAGGCUCUUAAAUCAGCUCCUAAACUACUGGAUAUUGGUAACGUAAAACCAAAUUCUUGGUGAUGGGAAGACUAAUGAGGCUCCCUGUGUCACAUAACACAUCGGUGACAGGAAAGGGAAAGAAAACGCAACUUUCUUGACUGCCAUUAUCAUAUAACUAUAUCAAACCGUGACCACUAUUACCACGUUCAUUAAGCCACGCUGCCUGGCUAUUAUUAACACAUAGUUACCGUAUCAUCUUGCUUUGUAGACAGACUGCUGCUUGCUCAUUUCUGUAGGAUCUGAGAAACAUGGAAACAAAGAUACAGUACCUUCAUGCUGCAGGGAUACAGGGUCCUGUAUCCCAGCUUGUUAGAUCAUCAAAAACUUGUGUAUAUUUACUUACAUCAUACCCAAAGAAUGUGAUGUAACCUUGUAAAUUUUGUAAACCUUCGUGUUUAAGUGACUGAGAUUUAUUUUCUUACGCUGUAAGAAAUAUCUGUAGACCUCAGGUGUGCUCCAUAAUACAUGUGACAUAGUAACAUGGAUGUUAAAACAUGAGAACUUGCCAGAACACUCGUAAUACAAAAAGCAGCUGCUACUGAGGUACCGUAGGUAAGUAGUUUUCUACCUGUUGGUAUAUUGUGUUCAACAAGUUCCAGGACAUGUAAAGAAACAUAAACACGAGAAUAAACAGAAAAUAAUCUAAAGAAGGCUAUUCUUUUUAUUCUUAGUGCUGAAAAUGUGGACAUCUUAGUUUGCUUUGAAGAUCUCAUAUAAAAAGACAAAACAGAGAAUAUUUUCAUCAAUUUGCAUUUUCUCAGAUUUAAGGAUUUUUCUCCCUUAAAAAGGAACCUCUGAAAGCAAAGGGAACUAUAAGCACUGUGUCAUAUUAUGGGAGAUUUUCUUUUCAGGACAUGGAAUUCUAUAGCCUGAGUUGAUAACUCAGCACAAUUUCCACUGAAUUUAGCAAGAAUUACAGGAAUACAACACCUAUAAAAUGGGACCCUCAUCGCAGAGUGAUAUUUAAAUUCGACAUUAACACUACCUAGUGCAGCCAAAGGAAACUUCAAUGGAUGCAACAGCCCAUUUGAGACUUGAUUCAAAAUGAACUGGCAGCCAAGCCUACAGUGUUUUAUUCCUCCUUCUAACCUUUCAUCUUGCAUUUGUUGCAUUUACCUCUCUGCAUUGGAGAGCUUUCAUAAUGUUUGUAAAACGCAAUAAAAGUAUGCUGAAGCUGCUCAGGAAUCCUUGGGCUGCAAAUAGUUGGAGCUGGGAGGGCAUUCCAGAGAAAUAUCCCUGCAUACUUCCUCUCUGACUGAUCACUGCUGGAGACAGACUACUAGGCUAGAGGGACCUUGAGUCCAACACAAUAUGACCUUCUUCAUGCUUGUAAAUAUUCGAGUUGGGAUUCUCAGGGCAGCAUUCAUUUCUUAGCUGUGUGCACUUCACUAGAUAACUAACUGGAAUGUAUCAGCAGGAAUGCAAGGGGUUAUUUUUGCCUACAGAAGAAAAAACCUUGUGUAAUCUGAACUGCUUUAUUUCUUGCUGAAUUAUAUAUUUUGCAGCAGCAUGUAGUUUAGUAAUCAACCAUGAACUGAAUAUGUGUGAUACUCUGAAUAUUGCAUAUGCUUAAGGGGAAGCAAAUUCCAGGCUUCUGUGGCAAUGUCGUCCCCUGGGAGAACACAGAAACUUUGUUUUGGUAUGAACACUUUCUGUUUUGUCAGAAGCGUUUGUACUGUAGUUUGGAAAGCAAUCAUAUCUACUGGGACAUCAGGUUACCGCAGGGUACCAGUGCAUACGUAUUUGUAAUAAUUGAUACCAAUUUCAGUUAAGCACUAGAGUUUUUGCCCUCUUUUUAGCCCUGACAAGGCUCAUUAAGAUGUUUAGGCUAGACUCUGCUGACUGGGUUUCUUGGAAGAGCUGAAACGAUUCAAGUACCUAUUUCCCAUCAUCUCCUUCAAGUUCUCUUCAAAAUCCCACCCAAGUAAAAUGCAAUAGAGAUGCUUUCUCUAGAUUAAUUUAAUUGGAAAAUGCUGUGGAGAACAAGUCCUUUUAAUCACAGCAUUUUGCUAAAUCGAAUGUGUUGCAGUUCUGGUUACGAGCAAAUUCAGUCAUUACUAUCUUACAAGUAAGUAGGAUGUUGUAUGUGGGUGACUGCAUAUAGGUUGUAUCGUGAAUGUUAUGGAGCUGUUCCUUUUGGAGAAUUGGCACAAAAAAAAUUCACAGUGUAAGGACCUCUAUAGCAUCCCAUAGCAAUUUGAGAUUGGUUUAAUUUUUGUGUUUUAACUGAAGAUAUGUUUAAAUGAAUUUAGAAUCUGUCUAUGUUUGUGUACAAUACCUUAUUUUCACAUCCUUAUUUCACAUGACAUAGAAUGCAAAGAGGAGGAUGACUUUUGUUCAGAUUUAGAUGAACACCUUUUGCAAAAGCAGCUGAAGAACGAAACAAAUUCCAAAAGAAAUAUUGCUACAUAGGAUAGAUAUUUGGUAUCAGUCACCGUCAUUUUAUUUUGACUUCUACUUGCGAUGCACUACAUAUAGAACAUACCAAUUGGUGUGGGAAUUGCACAACACAGUCACUUAAUGCCCUUCUGCCAGUUAUGGGGUACUGACAUAGGAAAAGAAAAUGAACAUGGUAGGGCAACAUGAAAAAGCUACAUGCUAAGUUGAUCUCAAACCUAAGGGGCCUGAGUAAGGAUGAGGUAAUUGUUGCCCAAGAAAAGAUGCAUGCAUAUAAAACACAGAAAAAAUAGUUACAUUUUUCCCAAUCAACAUACGUGAAUCGGUCAAAAAACAUCAAUCUCACAUUACUCUGAUAAAAUCCUGGACUAACCUUCUUAUGACAUAGAAAGAGGAAUCCUGACACUAUCAGUCCUUGGGUUUUCCUGCACAAAAGUGUAAAGCACGUUACAUGAAGAAACAUUUUCUUCGUAUGGCAUGCUCCUGAGCUAAGUCUGGGCUUUGCCAAAAUGGGAGGUGAUCUUGCUCCUAUUGACAGUCUUAGGAUUUUCUCCUGAUUUUAGAGGAAGCAACAUAAGGUCCCCACUGGAAUAAGGUGUAUUAGGGGAUAUUCCACAUCUCUGGCUUGCUAGAAGAAUUAGUACCCAUGAACAUAAUCUACUACAGAUCAAGAGAGCAAUUAAUUAACUUUUGACAAUGAGAUACUGUUACUUAAGUAAUAUAAUUCAACACAAAAGAACCCGCUUUUAUUUUCUGUACUUGGUCACAAAAUUUAGACUAAUUUUUUUGUUCUGAGUGUGCAAUUGUUAAUAAAUUUAAUUCAUCUGGAAUUUUAGCUAUAGAGAGGAUAUAGGAAACAUCAACUUUAUGCGCAAAAGGACAGAGAAGACUUUUACAAGAAGAGCACACAAAUCAAUGUGGCUCAACGUAUCACCUCUAUUCCACACAAAGACAAAACUACUGCCAUUACUGGGGUCCUGUAUUGCCUACGUUGCCUGCAUUGCUUAGACUGUCUUGUCCAUUGAAAGAUUUUUGAAGGAAUUUGUAAUAAACAGAUUUGGAAUAUAUGCUGACAUGAGGCAGUUAGUUGCAGAAUCUUUAUUUUAACUAAUCUCCAUUCUGCCCUAUUGAAAAUGUAAGUUGACUACACUUUAUGAAACAUUUAAGAGUUCUAAAUACAAACCACACAUUUAGUUUAAGACUACCACUAUAAUUUCACCAUGUAGCACACACACCUAUGGAAUAGCUUGUUUAUUAUUGAUUUUGUUUUAAAUCUCUGUUAUAUAUUCAUGCAUUUCCCUAAUGCAGACUAUUUUUAUAGGUUACUUUUAAGUAACAGCACUUAAGUAAUAGUCAGCUGCAGUGAAAAAUUGCAGAAGAAACUAUCAGGUAACAAUACUUUUUAAAAGGAGUAUGCUGCUUGUUCAUAAAAAAUGGUCCAUGCUUCAUCUGUGCUGUGGUAUGAAUUCCAGCAGAGCAGAGUCAUUAGGGUGUUGGUCACCAAAACAAUAGGAUAAUUUGGUAAAGGUCAGCAUUAUAGUGUCAGAGCUCUACCCCGCCAAAAAAAAAAAGGAAAAAACCAAGAGGUGUGCAUUUGCUUUCCUAAAAUAAGAAAAGGCAAACCUUUUGUUAAUGUGCAACUUACUGAGGUUAAAAAUUAAUUUAAUUUUUGUUGUCUCAGCUGGGAGAUAAGAGCAUACAUUACAUGGAGAGAUGUUGAUUACACUAAAAGUAACCAGUUAAAUCUAGUUGGGAAAUACAUUUAAAAGUCUCCCCUUAAAACACACAGUACUAAACUAAAACUUGGCUAUGAUUUAAAGCUACUACUACAACAACAACAGUAAUAAUAAUAAUACCACCAGUAAUAACAAAUUAAUUUACUGUGGACACUUUGAAC
This is a non-coding RNA of Phalacrocorax carbo (great cormorant), 6751 nucleotides long. The record is from RefSeq and is a predicted model, not a curated record. Lineage: Eukaryota; Metazoa; Chordata; Aves; Suliformes; Phalacrocoracidae.